AAAAAAUAAAUUAAUUAAAUAGAGCACUUCAGUAAUGUUCCAACCCGUAUACAAAUACCUUCAAACAUUCUAACUAACUAAAACCAAGUAGUCUCUACACUCACCCAAACCAUAAACUAGAAACUGCUUUCUCCAAGACCAAAAAACUAUAGGCUUAUAUAGAAUGCAUUAGUGAAUAAAAUGCUGAAUUAACCGUGUGCAUCAGUGAAAAAAAGCAUGACAGGUUUAAUUAUGCAGAACUAUGUAGCUACUGCAUAAGCACCUUUCACACAAGGUUCAACAUCAUCUGCAUAGAACAACCUUGUUCAAAACCCCUUCACUUCUACACACCAAAAACCUUUCCAAGAGCACUUAACAACAACGUGACCUGCAGGUCCUCUGCCAUUUGGGUGCUGAAAUUGUCAUCUACUAGCCAAGAAAGCCACAUGAACGUAUCCCUAAUGAGUAAAGGUUUGAGACACUCUCAACAAAAC
RNAcentral lists this long non-coding RNA (473 nucleotides) under Phaseolus vulgaris (common bean). RNAcentral's name for it is "long non-coding RNA (PVUL_LNC000222)". Lineage: Eukaryota; Viridiplantae; Streptophyta; Magnoliopsida; Fabales; Fabaceae. The record is from RNAcentral.